This 73-nucleotide transfer RNA is filed under the name compost metagenome. RNAcentral describes it as "tRNA-Gly". It matches the Rfam family "tRNA". Rfam says of the family: Transfer RNA (tRNA) molecules are approximately 80 nucleotides in length. The record is from RNAcentral.
GCGAAAUUAGCUCAGUGGCAGAGCAUCUCGUUGCCAACGAGAGGGCCGUCAGUUCGAACCUGAUAUUUCGCUC